AGAGUUUGAUCAUGGCUCAGGACUAACGCUGGCGGCGUGUCUUAGACAUGCAAGUCGAACGGCAGCAGACUACCUUCGGGGUGGUGCUGGCGAGUGGCGAACGGGUGAGUAAUACAAAAGUAACUUGCCUCGGAGUGGAGCAUAACCCCGAGAAAUCGGGGCUAAUUCUCCAUACGCUGCGUGAACAUACGUUCACACAGGAAAGGCUUCGGUCGCUCUGAGAGAGGCUUUUGGCUUAUCAGCUUGUUGGUGGAGUAACGGUUCACCAAGGCAACGACGGGUAGGGGGUGUGAGAGCAUGACCCCCCACAUGGGAACUGAGACACGGUCCCAACUCCUACGGGAGGCAGCAGUCUAGAAAUUUGGGCAAUGGGCGAAAGCCUGACCCAGCGACGCCGCGUGAGGGAUGAAGUCCUUCGGGAUGUAAACCUCUGUUGAGGGGGACGAUAAUGACGGUACCCCUCGAGGAAGCCUCGGCUAACUCCGUGCCAGCAGCCGCGGUAAUACGGAGGAGGCAAGCGUUGUCCGGAAUCACUGGGCGUAAAGGGUGUGUAGGUGUCCUGAUGGGUCAGGUGUGAAAUCCAACAGCUUAACUGUUGAACUGCAUCUGAAACUAUCGGGAUCGAGGGCAUGAGGGGAGAGUGGAACUCGCGGUGUAGCGGUAGAAUGCGUGGAUAUCGCGAGGAAUGCCGAUGGCGAAGGCGGCUCUCUAGUAUGCUCCUCGUAUGAGGAGCCGGUUGAUUUUAAUCUUCGGGUUACGGUUAACCGGUCCUGACACUGAAACACGAAAGCUGGGGGAGCGAACGGGAUUAGAUACCCCGGUAGUCCCAGCCUUAAACGAUGUACACUUGGCAUACGCCAUCAGGUGUGUGCCGGAGGUAACCUGUUAAGUGUACCGCCUGGGGAGUACGCUCGCAAGGGUGAAACUCAAAUGAAUUGACGG
This 942-nucleotide ribosomal RNA is filed under the name uncultured bacterium. RNAcentral describes it as "bacterial SSU rRNA". It matches the Rfam family "Bacterial small subunit ribosomal RNA", at positions 8 to 916 of the family's 1533-position model. The record is from RNAcentral.